AAGUUAUAGUCCCCCGGCCCCUCCGGGCUGGGGUCUUCUAUACCACCCUUUGUUUAUUACACCUUUGUUGCUUUGGCAGGCCUGCCUUCGGGCUGCUGGCUCCGGCCGGCGAGCGUCUGCCAGAGGACCUAAACUCUGUUUGUCUAUACUGUCUGAGUACUAUAUAAUAGUUA
RNAcentral lists this unclassified non-coding RNA (173 nucleotides) under uncultured Geomyces. RNAcentral describes it as "sequence contains ITS1". Lineage: Eukaryota; Fungi; Ascomycota; Leotiomycetes; Myxotrichaceae. The record is from RNAcentral.